This 371-nucleotide RNase P RNA is filed under the name Kiritimatiellia bacterium. Its description in RNAcentral is "Kiritimatiellae bacterium (gut metagenome) RNase P RNA component class A". It matches the Rfam family "Bacterial RNase P class A". From Rfam's summary of the family: Ribonuclease P (RNase P) is a ubiquitous endoribonuclease, found in archaea, bacteria and eukarya as well as chloroplasts and mitochondria. The record is from RNAcentral. Lineage: Bacteria; Pseudomonadati; Kiritimatiellota; Kiritimatiellia.
GCGCGCGAGCGACCGGUCGCUACCGCAAGGUAGAGGAAAGUCCGGACUCCGCAGGGCAGGAAACCGAUUCGUCAAGGAUCGGGGGCGUUGGGUAAACCAGCGCAACGGAUAGUGUCACAGAAACAAACAGCGAAGAAUCCUUUUGGGUUCCGCAAUGGUGAAAAGGCGGGGUAAGAGCCCACCGGCGCGGCUGAAACGACGCGUGUCAAGACAAACCCUUUCCGGAGCAAGAUCGAAUAGGGAGCCGAACAUGUCGCCCGCAUGGUUUGCGCUUAAAAAGCGCGAUAAGGUUCCGGGUAGAUCGCGUAGAUGAAUGAUCGGAGUUCCCUUUUGGGAAUGAACAGAAUCUGGCUUAUUCGCCGCGCGCCGCU